AACGAACGCUGGCGGCAUGCCUAACACAUGCAAGUCGAACGAUGCCUUCGGGCAUAGUGGCGCACGGGUGCGUAACGCGUGGGAAUCUGCCCUUGGGUUCGGAAUAACUCAGAGAAAUUUGAGCUAAUACCGGAUGAUGACGUAAGUCCAAAGAUUUAUCGCCCAAGGAUGAGCCCGCGUAAGAUUAGCUAGUUGGUGGGGUAAAGGCCUACCAAGGCGACGAUCUUUAGCUGGUCUGAGAGGAUGAUCAGCCACACUGGGACUGAGACACGGCCCAGACUCCUACGGGAGGCAGUAGUGGGGAAUAUUGGACAAUGGGCGAAAGCCUGAUCCAGCAAUGCCGCGUGAGUGAUGAAGGCCUUAGGGUUGUAAAGCUCUUUUACCAGGGAUGAUAAUGACAGUACCUGGAGAAUAAGCUCCGGCUAACUCCGUG
Molecule: ribosomal RNA, 433 nt
Filed under: uncultured bacterium
Lineage: Bacteria
Description: bacterial SSU rRNA
Rfam family: Bacterial small subunit ribosomal RNA
Source: RNAcentral